CGGGGUGUAGUAUAGUGGUAGUACGCAUACUUUGGGAGUAUGUAGUCCCAGUUCGAUUCUGGGCACCCCGA
Molecule: transfer RNA, 71 nt
Filed under: Patescibacteria group bacterium
Lineage: Bacteria
Description: tRNA-Pro
Rfam family: tRNA
About the family: Transfer RNA (tRNA) molecules are approximately 80 nucleotides in length. Their secondary structure includes four short double-helical elements and three loops (D, anti-codon, and T loops).
Source: RNAcentral